AUUGAACGCUGGCGGCAGGCUUAACACAUGCAAGUCGAGCGGGGGAAGGUAGCUUGCUACCGGACCUAGCGGCGGACGGGUGAGUAAUGCUUAGGAAUCUGCCUAUUAGUGGGGGACAACAUCUCGAAAGGGAUGCUAAUACCGCAUACGUCCUACGGGAGAAAGCAGGGGAUCUUCGGACCUUGCGCUAAUAGAUGAGCCUAAGUCGGAUUAGCUAGUUGGCGGGGUAAAGGCCUACCAAGGCGACGAUCUGUAGCGGGUCUGCGAGGAUGAUCCGCCACACUGGGACUGAACCACGGCCCAGACUCCUACGGGAGGCAGCAGUGGGGAAUAUUGGACAAUGGGGGGAACCCUGAUCCAGCCAUGCCGCGUGUGUGAAGAAGGCCUUAUGGUUGUAAAGCACUUUAAGCGAGGAGGAGGCUACUCUAGUUAAUACCUAGGGAUAGUGGACGUUACUCGCAGAAUAAGCACCGGCUAACUCUGUGCCAGCCGCCGCCGCAG
This 501-nucleotide ribosomal RNA is filed under the name uncultured bacterium. RNAcentral describes it as "partial 16S ribosomal RNA". It matches the Rfam family "Bacterial small subunit ribosomal RNA", at positions 30 to 523 of the family's 1533-position model. The record is from RNAcentral.